RNAcentral lists this ribosomal RNA (819 nucleotides) under Zabrus ignavus. RNAcentral's name for it is "eukaryotic LSU rRNA". It matches the Rfam family "Eukaryotic large subunit ribosomal RNA", at positions 429 to 938 of the family's 3401-position model. The record is from RNAcentral. Lineage: Eukaryota; Metazoa; Arthropoda; Insecta; Coleoptera; Carabidae.
UCCCGAAGUUCGAAUGGGGAGAUUCAAUUGCCUCGCCGGUUAUGACCAUUUAGUAGUGUUUUUAUAUAUGAGACAUUAUAUGCGUGCGGGAAUUUCGGUUUCCGUAGCUGUUAUAUAGUGCUCCGCUACUUUAUGUUUUAUAGUUUAUAGCCGGAGGCAUGCACUUCUCCCCUUGUAGGGCGUCAUGACCCAUUGGGUAUGUGUUAUAUGUAAAUGGUGUCUAAGGCUCAUAAUGGAGACCGUGGCGUCAAGUUUCGGCUUGUGCGCAACGGACUUAUGAUGUCCCGACAUCUACCCGAUGGUAUUAUAUUGAUGAUGGGUCGCUUUAAUUGGCGAGCGUUCAGACCUGUAACAAAUGUUUGUACGGUUCUGUGGAAAUCGGACUUUGUGCCGAUUCUACGCGUAUGACAUUGUUAGUUAUGGUGUUCUCGAACCGUUCCUUAUCAUCCGUCAAUGGCGUUUAUGUUUUGGGUAAUUACAGGACCCGUCUUGAAACACGGACCAAGGAGUCUAGCAUGUGCGCGAGUCAUUGGGACUCUAAUAAACCUAAAGGCGUAAUGAAAGUAAAUGUUUGUUGAAUUUUCGUAAUUCGCAAAUUAAGGGAAGAUGGCUGACGGAAUUUAUGUUGGCUCGCAUUCCCGGGGCGUCGCGUACUCAUUGCGAGUUGCGGCGCACCAAGAGCGUACACGCUGGGACCCGAAAGAUGGUGAACUAUGCCUGGUCAGGAUGAAGUCAGGGGAAACCCUGAUGGAGGUCCGUAGCGAUUCUGACGUGCAAAUCGAUCGUAUGAACUGGGUAUAGGGGCGAAAGACUAAUCGA